AUGGAGUCAACAUUGACCAAUCUCAGCUCUACACAAGCUGAUGCAUAGCAGGCAACAGCCAACAUCGUGAGCUUUCUUGUUCAACAAACUUUGACUCUUUGAGUGAGGCAGGGAGCACAACAAGCAAGUAUGAAGUGACGAUGAGAUGAAAUUUGAGUCUUUGAAUACUUUGUUUUCAACUAUUGUCCGCUUUGUUAUUUGA
RNAcentral lists this long non-coding RNA (202 nucleotides) under Rosa chinensis. RNAcentral's name for it is "sRNA RchiOBHm_Chr7g0237461". The record is from RNAcentral. Lineage: Eukaryota; Viridiplantae; Streptophyta; Magnoliopsida; Rosales; Rosaceae.